RNAcentral lists this ribosomal RNA (406 nucleotides) under uncultured bacterium. Its description in RNAcentral is "partial 16S ribosomal RNA". It matches the Rfam family "Bacterial small subunit ribosomal RNA", at positions 29 to 526 of the family's 1533-position model. The record is from RNAcentral.
AUUGAACGCUGGCGGCAGGCCUAACACAUGCAAGUCGAGCGAGCGGCGGACGGGUGAGUAAUGUCUGGGACACUGCCUGAUGGAGGGGGAUAAAUACUGGACACGGUAGCUAAUACCGCAUUCCAUCAGAAGUGCCCAUAGGGGAUUAGCUAGUCGGUGGGGUAACGGCUCACCGGGGCGAAGAUCCCUAGCUGUUCUGAGAGGAGGACCAGCCACACUGGAACUGAGACACGGCCCAGACUCCUACGGGAGGCAGCAGGGGGGAAUAUUGCACAAUGGGCGCAAGUCUGAUGCAGCCAUGCCGCGUGUGUGAAGAAGGCCUUAGGGUUGUAAAGCACUGUCAGCGGGGAGGCGUUACCCGCAGAAGAAGCACCGGCUAACUCCGCGCCAGCCGCCGCGGUAAUUC